UAGGGAAUAUUGCACAAUGGGCGAAAGCCUGAUGCAGCAACGCCGCGUGAGCGAUGAAGGCCUUCGGGUCGUAAAGCUCUUUUUGAGGAGAUGAGGAAGGACAGUAUCCUCAGAAUAAGGAUCGGCUAACUACGUGCCAGCAGCCGCGGUAACACGUAGGAUCCGAGCGUUAUCCGAAUUUACUGGGCGUAAAGCGCGUGCAGGCGGUUUGAUAAGUUGGAUGUGAAAGCUCCCGGCUCAACUGGGAGAGGCCGUUCAAAACUAUCAGACUUGAGGGCGGUAGAGGGAAGUGGAAUUCCCGGUGUAGUAGUGAAAUGCGUAGAUAUCGGGAGGAACACCAGUGGCGAAAGCGGCUUCCUAGACCGCUCCUGACGCUCAGACGCGAAAGCUAGGGGAGCGAACGGGAUUAGAAACCCCGGUAGUCCUAGCUGUAAACGAUGUGAACUUGGCGUUGGUGGGGUAAAAGCCAUCAGUGCCGAAGCUAACGCGAUAAGUUCACGCCG
Molecule: ribosomal RNA, 503 nt
Filed under: uncultured Chloroflexota bacterium
Lineage: Bacteria; Bacillati; Chloroflexota
Description: bacterial SSU rRNA
Rfam family: Bacterial small subunit ribosomal RNA
Source: RNAcentral